Small nuclear RNA from Jaculus jaculus (lesser Egyptian jerboa), 163 nucleotides. Its record names the gene U1. It matches the Rfam family "U1 spliceosomal RNA". Rfam says of the family: U1 is a small nuclear RNA (snRNA) component of the spliceosome (involved in pre-mRNA splicing). Its 5' end forms complementary base pairs with the 5' splice junction, thus defining the 5' donor site of an intron. Lineage: Eukaryota; Metazoa; Chordata; Mammalia; Rodentia; Dipodidae. The record is from Ensembl.
AUCCUUACCUGGUAGGGGAGAUACUGUGAUCAGGAUGUUGGUUUUCCCAGGGUGAGGCUUACCCAUUGCACUCCUGAUGUGUUGACCUCGACUAUUUCCACAAAUGUGGGAAACUCAACUGCAUAAUUGUGGUAGUGGGGAACUGUGUUUACACUUUUCCCUA